GUAGGUGGCAAGCGUUGUCCGGAAUUAUUGGCGUAAAGCGCGCGCAGGCGGUCCUUUAAGUCUGAUGUGAAAGCCCACGGCUCAACCGUGGAGGGUCAUUGGAAACUGGGGGACUUGAGUACAGAAGAGGAAAGCGGAAUUCCAAGUGUAGCGGUGAAAUGCGUAGAGAUUUGGAGGAACAUCAGUGGCGAAGGCGGCUUUCUGGUCUGUAACUGACGCUGAGGCGCGAAAGCGUGGGGAGCAAACAGGGAUUAGAUACCCUGGUAGUCCACGCCGUAAACGAUGAGUGCUAAGUGUUAGGGGGUUUCCGCCCCCUUAGUGCUGCAGCUAACGCAUUAAGCACUCCGCCUGGGGAGUACGGCCGCAAGGCUG
RNAcentral lists this ribosomal RNA (372 nucleotides) under uncultured organism. Its description in RNAcentral is "partial 16S ribosomal RNA". It matches the Rfam family "Bacterial small subunit ribosomal RNA", at positions 527 to 896 of the family's 1533-position model. The record is from RNAcentral.